CCUACGGGAGGCAGCAGUAAGGGAUAUUGGUCAAUGGGGGAAACCCUGAACCAGCAACGCCGCGUGAGGGAAGACGGUUUUAGGAUUGUAAACCCCUGUUCUCUGUGAAGAUGAUGACGGUAGCAGAGGAGGAAGCUCCGGCUAACUACGUGCCAGCAGCCGCGGUAAUACGGAGGGAGCGAGCGUUGUCCGGAUUUACUGGGGGUAAAGGGUGCGUAGGCGGGUUGGUAAGUCAGGCGUGAAAUCCAUGGGCUUAACCCACGAACUGCCAUUGAAACUGUCGGGCUUGAGUGGAGGAGAGGUAGGCGGAAUGCCUGGUGUAGCGGUGAAAUGCGUAGAGAUCAAGAGGAACACCAAUUGCGAAGGCGGCCUACUGG
This 377-nucleotide ribosomal RNA is filed under the name uncultured bacterium. Its description in RNAcentral is "partial 16S ribosomal RNA". It matches the Rfam family "Bacterial small subunit ribosomal RNA", at positions 338 to 732 of the family's 1533-position model. The record is from RNAcentral.